AACGGUCUAUACCUGCGGUACCUGCGGAAGGAUCAUUAUAGAGUGGUAAACCUCCCGUAAAAAGGGGGGGACCUCCCGUCCUUUGCAGGCUCUUUUUUAAGGGGCUUUUUUGACUUUCUGCUUCGGUGGGGUUAUCCUACCGGAACAACUUCAAAACUCUGAAUCAAAAAAAUCGUUCUGUCCGAGGGCUUUUUUAUAAAAUAAAAAAAACUUUCAACAACGGAUCUCUAGAUCGGAAGA
RNAcentral lists this unclassified non-coding RNA (240 nucleotides) under soil metagenome. RNAcentral describes it as "partial contains 5.8S ribosomal RNA, internal transcribed spacer 2, and large subunit ribosomal RNA". The record is from RNAcentral.